AGGGCUGUAGCUCAGUGGUAAAGUAAAUGCUUUUCAUGUUUGAGGCCCUGGGUUCAAUGCCAGGCAACCUUG
Molecule: transfer RNA, 72 nt
Filed under: Erinaceus europaeus (western European hedgehog)
Lineage: Eukaryota; Metazoa; Chordata; Mammalia; Eulipotyphla; Erinaceidae
Rfam family: tRNA
About the family: Transfer RNA (tRNA) molecules are approximately 80 nucleotides in length. Their secondary structure includes four short double-helical elements and three loops (D, anti-codon, and T loops).
Source: Rfam by way of RNAcentral